This 495-nucleotide ribosomal RNA is filed under the name uncultured bacterium. RNAcentral's name for it is "partial 16S ribosomal RNA". It matches the Rfam family "Bacterial small subunit ribosomal RNA", at positions 28 to 507 of the family's 1533-position model. The record is from RNAcentral.
GAUGAACGCUGGCGGCGUGCCUAAUACAUGCAAGUAGAACGCUGAAGGAGGAGCUUGCUCUCCUGGAUGAGUUGCGAACGGGUGAGUAACGCGUAGGUAACCUGCCUGGUAGCGGGGGAUAACUAUUGGAAACGAUAGCUAAUACCGCAUGACAACAGUUAUUGCAUGAUAACUGUUUAAAAGGGGCAACUGCUCCACUACCAGAUGGACCUGCGUUGUAUUAGCUAGUUGGUGAGGUAACGGCUCACCAAGGCGACGAUACAUAGCCGACCUGAGAGGGUGAUCGGCCACACUGGGACUGAGACACGGCCCAGACUCCUACGGGAGGCAGCAGUAGGGAAUCUUCGGCAAUGGACGGAAGUCUGACCGAGCAACGCCGCGUGAGUGAAGAAGGUUUUCGGAUCGUAAAGCUCUGUUGUAAGAGAAGAACGAGUGUGAGAGUGGAAAGUUCACACUGUGACGGUAUCUUACCAGAAAGGGACGGCUAACUACGUG